CUUGCAGGGUACUCGAGUGGCGAACGGGUGAGUAACACGUGGGUGAUCUGCCCUGCACUUCGGGAUAAGCUUGGGAAACUGGGUCUAAUACCGGAUAGGAGCCAUCUUUAGUGUGGUGGUUGGAAAGUUUUUUCGGUGUAGGAUGAGCUCGCGGCCUAUCAGCUUGUUGGUGGGGUAAUGGCCUACCAAGGCGGCGACGGGUAGCCGGCCUGAGAGGGUGUACGGCCACAUUGGGACUGAGAUACGGCCCAGACUCCUACGGGAGGCAGCAGUGGGGAAUAUUGCACAAUGGGCGCAAGCCUGAUGCAGCGACGCCGCGUGGGGGAUGAAGGCCUUCGGGUUGUAAACUCCUUUCGCUAGGGACGAAGCUUUUUUGUGACGGUACCUAGAUAAGAAGCACCGGCUAACUA
Molecule: ribosomal RNA, 410 nt
Filed under: uncultured Corynebacterium sp.
Lineage: Bacteria; Bacillati; Actinomycetota; Actinomycetes; Mycobacteriales; Corynebacteriaceae
Description: bacterial SSU rRNA
Rfam family: Bacterial small subunit ribosomal RNA
Source: RNAcentral